RNAcentral lists this ribosomal RNA (574 nucleotides) under uncultured bacterium. RNAcentral's name for it is "partial 16S ribosomal RNA". It matches the Rfam family "Bacterial small subunit ribosomal RNA", at positions 355 to 922 of the family's 1533-position model. The record is from RNAcentral.
UGGGGAAUUUUGGACAAUGGGCGAAAGCCUGAUCCAGCAAUGCCGCGUGUGUGAAGAAGGCCUUCGGGUUGUAAAGCACUUUUGUCCGGAAAGAAAUCCUUGGCUCUAAUACAGUCGGGGGAUGACGGUACCGGAAGAAUAAGCACCGGCUAGCUACGUGCCAGCAGCCGCGGUAAUACGUAGGGUGCAAGCGUUAAUCGGAAUUACUGGGCGUAAAGCGUGCGCAGGCGGUUUGCUAAGACCGAUGUGAAAUCCCCGGGCUCAACCUGGGAACUGCAUUGGUGACUGGCAGGCUAGAGUAUGGCAGAGGGGGGUAGAAUUCCACGUGUAGCAGUGAAAUGCGUAGAGAUGUGGAGGAAUACCGAUGGCGAAGGCAGCCCCCUGGGCCAAUACUGACGCUCAUGCACGAAAGCGUGGGGAGCAAACAGGAUUAGAUACCCUGGUAGUCCACGCCCUAAACGAUGUCAACUAGUUGUUGGGGAUUCAUUUCCUUAGUAACGUAGCUAACGCGUGAAGUUGACCGCCUGGGGAGUACGGUCGCAAGAUUAAAACUCAAAGGAAUUGGCGGGGUCAU